Molecule: ribosomal RNA, 372 nt
Filed under: uncultured organism
Description: bacterial SSU rRNA
Rfam family: Bacterial small subunit ribosomal RNA
Source: RNAcentral
CGUAGGGUGCGAGCGUUAAUCGGAAUUACUGGGCGUAAAGUGUGCGCAGGCGGCCGCGCAAGUCGAGUGUGAAAGCCCCGAGCUUAACUUGGGAAUUGCGCUCGAAACUACGUGGCUCGAGUGUGGCAGGGGAAGGUGGAAUUCCACGUGUAGCGGUGAAAUGCGUAGAGAUGUGGAGGAACACCGAUGGCGAAGGCAGCCUUCUGGGCCAACACUGACGCUCAUGCACGAAAGCGUGGGGAGCAAACAGGAUUAGAUACCCUGGUAGUCCACGCCCUAAACGAUGAUGACUAGUUGUUGGGGGAGUUAAAUCCCUUAGUAACGCAGCUAACGCGUGAAGUCAUCCGCCUGGGGAGUACGGUCGCAAGAUUA